AUUGAACGCUGGCGGCAUGCCUUACACAUGCAAGUCGAACGGUAACAGGUCUUCGGAUGCUGACGAGUGGCGAACGGGUGAGUAAUACAUCGGAACGUGCCCGAGAGUGGGGGAUAACGGAGCGAAAGCUUUGCUAAUACCGCAUACGAUCUACGGAUGAAAGCAGGGGACCGCAAGGCCUUGCGCUCAUGGAGCGGCCGAUGGCAGAUUAGGUAGUUGGUGGGAUAAAAGCUUACCAAGCCGACGAUCUGUAGCUGGUCUGAGAGGACGACCAGCCACACUGGGACUGAGACACGGCCCAGACUCCUACGGGAGGCAGCAGUGGGGAAUUUUGGACAAUGGGCGCAAGCCUGAUCCAGCCAUGCCGCGUGCAGGAUGAAGGCCUUCGGGUUGUAAACUGCUUUUGUACGGAACGAAAAGACUCUGGUUAAUACCUGGGGUCCAUGACGGUACCGUAAGAAUAAGCACCGGCUAACUACGUGCCAGCAGCCGCGGUAAUACGUAGGGUGCAAGCGUUAAUCGGAAUUACUGGGCGUAAAGCGUGCGCAGGCGGUUAUAUAAGACAGAUGUGAAAUCCCCGGGCUCAACCUGGGAACUGCAUUUGUGACUGUAUA
Molecule: ribosomal RNA, 614 nt
Filed under: uncultured Acidovorax sp.
Lineage: Bacteria; Pseudomonadati; Pseudomonadota; Betaproteobacteria; Burkholderiales; Comamonadaceae
Description: bacterial SSU rRNA
Rfam family: Bacterial small subunit ribosomal RNA
Source: RNAcentral